This 433-nucleotide long non-coding RNA is filed under the name Cyanistes caeruleus (blue tit). Its description in RNAcentral is "lncRNA (ENSCCEG00000001915.1)". The record is from RNAcentral. Lineage: Eukaryota; Metazoa; Chordata; Aves; Passeriformes; Paridae.
CUUGGCACUGUUAGCAUAGUUAACACAUUUCUCUCCCUCUCUCUUCCUCUCCCCCUCCUUUUUUUUUAUGCCUUGGGAGAAGUCCUGUGCUGCAGCCCCUUUGCUGGCUGCCAUGUGCUGUUGUGCUUGGAACGAGCCCCUGUUUAGGCUGUCGGUGGCGGUACCCCGGGUUCCUGCUCGGAAAGAGCAGCAGCCUGUUAUCAUCAGGCUCAGCGUGACGGCGCCGGCCAGAUGCGAAUGCAGAACCCACCAAGACAGACUUGAUCACAAAAGUGUGUGUGGGCAAGAUAUUUUUUUGCUGGGGGAAGGAGACUGCCUACAGAUUGCACCAGAGGCAAGAGUGUUUCAGGAGAACUCUGUGCGUACUGCCCAUCUUUUGUUUUCCAAAGAAAUGGGAGAUGAACGGGACAUGGGGCCGAAACUCCUCCUCUGA